RNAcentral lists this ribosomal RNA (460 nucleotides) under uncultured bacterium. RNAcentral's name for it is "partial 16S ribosomal RNA". It matches the Rfam family "Bacterial small subunit ribosomal RNA", at positions 338 to 795 of the family's 1533-position model. The record is from RNAcentral.
CCUACGAGUGGCAGCAGUGAGGAAUAUUGGUCAAUGGGCGCGAGCCUGAACCAGCCAAGUCGCGUGAAGGAUGACUGCCCUACGGGUUGUAAACUUCUUUUAUAAAGGAAUCAAGUGAGGCAAGUGUGCCUUUUUUUAUGUACUUUAUGAAUAAGGAUCGGCUACCUCCGUGCCAGCAGCCGCGGUAAUACGGAGGAUCCGAGCGUUAUCCUGAUUUAUUGGGUUUAAAGGGAGCGUAGAUGGGUUGUUAAGUCAGUUGUGAAAGUUUGCGGCUCAACCGUAAAAUUGCAAUUGAUACUGGCAGCCUUGAGUACAGUUGAGGUAGGCGGAAUUCGUGGUGUAGCGGUGAAAUGCUUAGAUAUCACGAAGAACUCCGAUUGCGAAGGCAGCUUACUAAACUGCCACUGACAUUGAUGCUCGAAAGUGUGGGUAUCAAACAGGAUUAGAUACCCCGGUAGUA